Molecule: ribosomal RNA, 1389 nt
Filed under: uncultured bacterium
Lineage: Bacteria
Description: bacterial SSU rRNA
Rfam family: Bacterial small subunit ribosomal RNA
Source: RNAcentral
AGAGUUUGAUCCUGGCUCAGGACGAACGCUGGCGGCGCGCCUAACACAUGCAAGUCGAACGAGAGAUGAGGAGCUUGCUCUUCAGAUCGAGUGGCGAACGGGUGAGUAACGCGUGAGGAACCUGCCUCGAAGAGGGGGACAACAGUUGGAAACGACUGCUAAUACCGCAUAAGCCCACGGCUCGGCAUCGAGCAGAGGGAAAAGGAGUGAUCCGCUUUGAGAUGGCCUCGCGUCCGAUUAGCUAGUUGGUGAGGUAACGGCCCACCAAGGCGACGAUCGGUAGCCGGACUGAGAGGUUGAACGGCCACAUUGGGACUGAGACACGGCCCAGACUCCUACGGGAGGCAGCAGUGGGGAAUAUUGCACAAUGGGGGAAACCCUGAUGCAGCGACGCCGCGUGGAGGAAGAAGGUCUUCGGAUUGUAAACUCCUGUUGUUGAGGAAGAUAAUGACGGUACUCAACAAGGAAGUGACGGCUAACUACGUGCCAGCAGCCGCGGUAAAACGUAGGUCACAAGCGUUGUCCGGAAUUACUGGGUGUAAAGGGAGCGCAGGCGGGAGAACAAGUUGGAAGUGAAAUCCAUGGGCUCAACCCAUGAACUGCUUUCAAAACUGUUUUUCUUGAGUAGUGCAGAGGUAGGCGGAAUUCCCGGUGUAGCGGUGGAAUGCGUAGAUAUCGGGAGGAACACCAGUGGCGAAGGCGGCCUACUGGGCACCAACUGACGCUGAGGCUCGAAAGUGUGGGUAGCAAACAGGAUUAGAUACCCUGGUAGUCCACACCGUAAACGAUGAUUACUAGGUGUUGGAGGAUUGACCCCUUCAGUGCCGCAGUUAACACAAUAAGUAAUCCACCUGGGGAGUACGACCGCAAGGUUGAAACUCAAAGGAAUUGACGGGGGCCCGCACAAGCAGUGGAGUAUGUGGUUUAAUUCGACGCAACGCGAAGAACCUUACCAAGUCUUGACAUCCCUUGACGAACAUAGAAAUAUGUUUUCUCUUCGGAGCAAGGAGACAGGUGGUGCAUGGUUGUCGUCAGCUCCGUGCCUGAGAAUGUUGGGUUAAGUCCCGCAACGAGCGCAACCCUUUAUGGUCAGUUACUUACGCAAGAAGGACUUGGGCCCAGAUUGCCCUUUGACAAAAACGGAGGAGAGGUGGGGGAGAACGUCAAAACCUCCUUGGCCCUUUAUAGACUUGGGGUUACCAACGGUACCACAAAGGGGGUUAAACAAAAGAAAACCAAGACCCCCCGAGUGGGGCGAAAAUUUAAAGAACAACGUUCCCAGUUCGGACUGCAGGCUGCAACUCGCCUGCACGAAGUCGGAAUUGCUAGUAAUCGUGGAUCAGCAUGCCACGGUGAAUACGUUCCCGGGCCUUGUACACACCGCCCGUC